UACGAAGGGGGCUAGCGUUGCUCGGAAUGACUGGGCGUAAAGGGCGCGUAGGCGGUUUGUACAGUCAGGUGUGAAAUUCCCGGGCUCAACCUGGGGGCUGCACUUGAUACGUAUGGACUGGAGUGGGGAAGAGGGUCGUGGAAUUCCCAGUGUAGAGGUGAAAUGCGUAGAUAUCUGGAGGAACACCGGUGGCGAAGGCGGCAUCCUGGACCAUAACUGACACUGAUAAGCGAAAGCCAGGGGAGCAAACGGG
This 253-nucleotide ribosomal RNA is filed under the name uncultured bacterium. RNAcentral's name for it is "partial 16S ribosomal RNA". It matches the Rfam family "Bacterial small subunit ribosomal RNA", at positions 524 to 776 of the family's 1533-position model. The record is from RNAcentral.